RNAcentral lists this ribosomal RNA (657 nucleotides) under uncultured bacterium. RNAcentral describes it as "bacterial SSU rRNA". It matches the Rfam family "Bacterial small subunit ribosomal RNA", at positions 93 to 775 of the family's 1533-position model. The record is from RNAcentral.
GAGUGGCAGACGGGUGAGUAACGCGUGGGAACCUACCUAUCGGUACGGAAUAACCCGGGGAAACCCGAGCUAAUACCGCAUACGCCCUGGUUUUAGGAUCGGGGGAAAGAUUCAUCGCCGAUGGAUGGGCCCGCGUCGGAUUAGCUUGUUGGUGUGGUAACGGCGCACCAAGGCGACGAUCCGUAGCUGGUCUGAGAGGAUGAUCAGCCACACUGGGACUGAGACACGGCCCAGACUCCUACGGGAGGCAGCAGUGGGGAAUAUUGGACAAUGGGGGCAACCCUGAUCCAGCCAUGCCGCGUGAGUGAAGAAGGCCUUAGGGUUGUAAAUCUCUUUCGGCGGGGAAGAUAAUGACGGUACCCGCAGAAGAAGCCCCGGCUAACUCCGUGCCAGCAGCCGCGGUAAUACGGAGGGGGCUAGCGUUGUUCGGAAUUACUGGGCGUAAAGGGCACGUAGGCUGGCUGUUAAGUCGGGGGUGAAACCCUGAGGCUCAACCUCAGAAUUGCCUCCGAUACUGGCGGUCUCGAGUGCGGGAGAGGUGAGUGGAAUUCCCAGUGUAGAGGUGAAAUUCGUAGAUAUUGGGAAGAACACCAGUGGCGAAGGCGGCUCACUGGCCCGCAACUGACGCUGAGGUGCGAAAGCGUGGGGAGCAAACAG